AAUGAACGCUGGCGGCAUGCCUAACACAUGCAAGUCGAACGAGACCUUCGGGUCUAGUGGCGCACGGGUGCGUAACGCGUGGGAAUCUGCCCUUGGGUUCGGAAUAACAGUUAGAAAUGACUGCUAAUACCGAAUGAUGUCGUAAGACCAAAGAUUUAUCGCCCAGGGAUGAGCCCGCGUAGGAUUAGCUAGUUGGUGUGGUAAAAGCGCACCAAGGCGACGAUCCUUAGCGGUCUGAGAGGAUGAUCAGCCACACUGGGACUGAGACACGGCCCAGACUCCUACGGGAGGCAGCAGUGGGGAAUAUUGGACAAUGGGCGAAAGCCUGAUCCAGCAAUGCCGCGUGAGUGAUGAAGGCCUUAGGGUUGUAAAGCUCUUUUACCCGGGAUGAUAAUGACAGUACCGGGA
RNAcentral lists this ribosomal RNA (408 nucleotides) under uncultured bacterium. Its description in RNAcentral is "bacterial SSU rRNA". It matches the Rfam family "Bacterial small subunit ribosomal RNA", at positions 29 to 483 of the family's 1533-position model. The record is from RNAcentral.